AACGAACGCUGGCGGCAGGCUUAACACAUGCAAGUCGAACGCAUCCUUCGGGGUGAGUGGCAGACGGGUGAGUAACACGUGGGAACGUACCUUUCGGUUCGGGAUAACCCAGGGAAACUUGGGCUAAUACCGGAUACGUCCUGAGGGAGAAAGAUUUAUUGCCGAGAGAUCGGCCCGCGUCUGAUUAGCUAGUUGGUAGGGUAAUGGCCUACCAAGGCGACGAUCAGUAGCUGGUCUGAGAGGAUGAUCAGCCACACUGGGACUGAGACACGGCCCAGACUCCUACGGGAGGCAGCAGUGGGGAAUAUUGGACAAUGGGCGCAAGCCUGAUCCAGCCAUGCCGCGUGAGUGAUGAAGGCCCUAGGGUUGUAAAGCUCGG
This 379-nucleotide ribosomal RNA is filed under the name uncultured bacterium. Its description in RNAcentral is "bacterial SSU rRNA". It matches the Rfam family "Bacterial small subunit ribosomal RNA", at positions 29 to 435 of the family's 1533-position model. The record is from RNAcentral.